This 158-nucleotide ribosomal RNA is filed under the name Gonyostomum semen. RNAcentral describes it as "5.8S ribosomal RNA". It matches the Rfam family "5.8S ribosomal RNA". Rfam says of the family: 5.8S ribosomal RNA (5.8S rRNA) is a component of the large subunit of the eukaryotic ribosome. Lineage: Eukaryota; Raphidophyceae; Chattonellales; Vacuolariaceae. The record is from RNAcentral.
UUCAGCAAUGGAUGUCUUGGCUCCCACAACGAUGAAGAACGCAGCGAAAUGCGAUACGUAAUGCGAAUUGCAGAGUCCAGCGAGUCAUCAAAUGUUCGAACGCACCUGGCGCUUCCGGGAUAUUCCUGGGAGCAUGCUCGUUAGAGUGUCUGUUGAAA